RNAcentral lists this ribosomal RNA (254 nucleotides) under uncultured bacterium. Its description in RNAcentral is "partial 16S ribosomal RNA". It matches the Rfam family "Bacterial small subunit ribosomal RNA", at positions 524 to 776 of the family's 1533-position model. The record is from RNAcentral.
UACGGGGGGAGCAAGCGUUGUUCGGAUUUACUGGGCGUAAAGGGCGCGUAGGCGGUCAGCACAAGUCAGUUGUGAAAUCUCCGGGCUUAACUCGGAAAGGUCAACUGAUACUGUGCGACUAGAGUGCGGAAGGGGCAACUGGAAUUCUCGGUGUAGCGGUGAAAUGCGUAGAUAUCGAGAGGAACACCUGCGGCGAAGGCGGGUUGCUGGGCCGACACUGACGCUGAUGCGCGACAGCGUGGGGAGCAAACAGG